This 770-nucleotide ribosomal RNA is filed under the name uncultured bacterium. RNAcentral's name for it is "bacterial SSU rRNA". It matches the Rfam family "Bacterial small subunit ribosomal RNA", at positions 50 to 866 of the family's 1533-position model. The record is from RNAcentral.
UAANCAUGCAAGUCGAACGGACCCGCAAGGGUUAGUGGCGAAAGGGUGAGUAAAAGUAUUCAACGUACCCCGAGGUGGGGGAUAGGCAGGGGAAACCCGGCAUAAUACCCCAUGAUCUCUACGGAGCAAAGAUUUAUCGCCUUGGGAGCGGGAAUACACCUAUCAGGUAGUUGGUGAGGUAAUGGCUCACCAAGCCUAAGACGGGUAGCAGGUGUGAGAGCACGGCCUGCCACAUCGAAACUGAGACACUGUUCGGACUCCUACGGGAGGCUGCAGCGACGAAUCUUCCGCAAUGGGCGAAAGCCUGACGGAGCGAUGCCGCGUGUGGGAUGAAGCGGCUUUGCCGUGUAAACCACUGUCAGGGAAUAGAAAUCAUGAUCAUUUCCAAAGGAAGGGGCGACUAACUCUGUGCCAGCAGUCGCGGUAAGACAGAGGCCCCGAGCGUUAGUCGGAAUCACUGGGCUUAAAGGGUGCGUAGGCGGACUUGUAAGUGUCGUGUGAAAGCCCAUGGCUUAACCAUGGAACCGCACGGCAAACUGUGAGUCUUGAGGUAGGUAGAGGCGGGUGGAACGAAUGGUGGAGCGGUGGAAUGCGUAGAUAUCAUUCGGAACGCCAAAGGUGAAGACAGCCCGCUGGGCCUUACCUGACGCUGAGGCACGAAAGCGUGGGGAGCAAACAGGAUUAGAUANNCUGGUAGUCCACGCCCUAAACGAUGUACACUUGGUUAGAGCAGCUCUGACGCUGUUCGGACCGAAGAGAAAUUGUAAGUG